GGCCGCCCCUCCCUAACCCCGGGCGGAAAGAGGCCGCGCAUUGUCCCGUCGCCGCCGCCGCCGCCGGGGAGGCGGAAGCGGAGGCAGCGGCUCGGCUGGGAGCGGCUUUUCCGAGCGCCCUCGCGGCGCUCUGCGCCCACCGCGGAUAUCUCCGGGGGCACCUGAGGUCGCGGGGUCUCCCCAAGCUAGACGCCCUGCACCCACGGGCCUGCCUGCUGACGCCCCCGCUCUAAUUUGCAUCUUUAGUCACCCGCCUCUUCCCUGGUUUGGAGAAUGUAGGCUUAAAAAAAAAAAAAAAAAGGCGGCUGCUAGGCCCAGGUUGCCAAUUUUGGAGCUUUGCUGCGGUCGGGCCGCCCCUGGAGGAGCGUGCUGGGAGAAGCUGUAGUCUUCCACGUUGGCAUAAGGAAAUUGAUAGAAUCUCUGAUGAUUGAAAAGAAUGGACCCAGUCCUUUCCAUCCCAACGAUGCUGUGUGAGGCCUAAGAACCCGCCUGGAAUUCCCUAGUCUCAGGAGAAAUCCUCUGAGGAACUGCGCUAAGCAGUGUAAUCCAUCGCGAUUCAGAUGUCAAGAAAAGCACGUGCUGUGACAGACCGGCACCAAAAUCCUUUAAACCAGUUAGAUACAAAAUAUACCCAGCUACCUUUCUAACUUCUCCCUACUGCUUCCCUCUUAAACACUCUGUACCCUAUGCU
Long non-coding RNA from Bos taurus (domestic cattle), 691 nucleotides. Lineage: Eukaryota; Metazoa; Chordata; Mammalia; Artiodactyla; Bovidae. The record is from Ensembl.